AGAAAGAAAGACGGAGAAAAUUGAAAUUCCUUUGACUUGAAAUUGAAACCGUAACUUGGAGCAUCGCAAAGCUAUCAUCGGUUUUGAAUAAAAGCUUUUGAAAAUUCCUCGGCCAAUUCGAACGUGCUCGAUUAUAUCGGACUAAUGGAACUGGAAGUAUCGUUGUUCAGGAUCAGCAACAGCAAACCAGAGACCGCGGCAAACACGCCAGCGGACAUCAAACCAAGCGCCGGAAGCUUUUUGGAGGAAAGAAUUGGUCCAUCUUCGAGUUUGAGGUAGCACAGGCCAGGUAGAACGUAAGCUAGAGGUACAGCAGCGAGGAUUCCAUUCAAUUCGAGAACCACACCCAGACAAUCUGUUGACAUCGAUAUCAGCAUUUAGACAAAGCACGAAGAGCGUUAAAAUAUUUUGUAAUAUCGAAGGAAAAAAUGAAUAUAUAACACGAGUAAUUCUCAAAGAAUUUGAAUACUGGCCUAGAACUUAAGAAAAGAUAUUGCCAAAAUUAAGAUA
Molecule: long non-coding RNA, 510 nt
Organism: Bombus huntii
Lineage: Eukaryota; Metazoa; Arthropoda; Insecta; Hymenoptera; Apidae
Exons: 3
Source: RefSeq, a predicted model, not a curated record